Long non-coding RNA from Rattus norvegicus (Norway rat), 821 nucleotides. Lineage: Eukaryota; Metazoa; Chordata; Mammalia; Rodentia; Muridae. The record is from Ensembl.
GAAAUGCAAACCUACCACUUUAAAGAUCGCCUGCCUGAGGACUAGACAGCUAACCUUCUGUGAACCUUGAGAAUUCUACUGGAAAGCAAGCUACCUUCCACCUAUCUGGGUGAGCCAAAAUGUUCCUUGAAAAAUAUUUUGAGAUUUAGGCUUCUUUCCACAGAUGGGACCUUUCGGAUAAAACUUGAAGACACUGAACUCAGUGGCGUCCAGCUACUCAUCUUUGCAUGGGUGAUUCCUAGAGCAGUAUUGUGCCGAUCAUAGGCGUUCAGCCCAGGGUGGCUGGACAAAGGAAACUGUCAACAAGAAAUAAUGAGGCUACUGCUCAUCGGCUUUUGGGUAGUUGGUCCUAUGACUGAAGGCCCCUUCUGCUCUACGACGAAGACUGGCAAAACUCGCCUCAGCCCCCAGAGCAAGGCUAACCUAUCCACUCUACUCAUCAAAGAUCACCAUUCUCUCUGAUAUCUAAAAGGCGCUUUCUGCUUGUCACUUACUGUGGGAUAGUCAUUACUUCUAAUGUAUCGGACUGUGUACCCUCGUCUUAGGUUUUCUGUUGUUUCUAGGAAAGUGAAGGUUUCUCAAGGACGAGGGAAUUACAGUGUGCUUUAUGGAGGUUCCGUAGUGUCUGCUGCAAAGCUGAGUGGAAUAACAUCUUCAAAAAAUGCAACUGCACCUGGAGUCAAAGGCACAAGAGAUAUUAAUCAUAUCGAGUCAACCUGUUUUCAGUCAACUGUGUAAAAAGCUACUGAUUCAUGGCUGAGUGCUACUUCUUUGAGGCAACCUAAAUAACAGACAAUUCUUUUCUUUUCUUUUCUUUUUUU